ACGCACGCUGGCGGCAUGCCUCACACCUGCAAGUCGAACGAGACCUUCGGGUCUAGUGGCGCACGGGUGCGUAACGCGUGGGAACCUGCCCUUAGGUUCGGAAUAACUCCCCGAAAGGGGUGCUAAUACCGGAUAAUGUCUUCGGACCAAAGAUUUAUCGCCUUUGGAUGGGCCCGCGUUGGAUUAGCUAGUUGGUAGGGUAAAAGCCUACCAAGGCGACGAUCCAUAGCUGGUCUGAGGGGAUGAUCAGCCACACUGGGACUGAGACACGGCCCAGACUCCUACGGGAGGCAGCAGUGGGGAAUAUUGGACAAUGGGCGAAAGCCUGAUCCAGCAAUGCCGCGUGAGUGAUGAAGGCCUUAGGGUUGUAAAGCUCUUUUACCCGGGAUGAUAAUGACAGUACCGGGAGAAUAAGCUCCGGCUAACUCCGUG
Molecule: ribosomal RNA, 432 nt
Filed under: uncultured bacterium
Lineage: Bacteria
Description: partial 16S ribosomal RNA
Rfam family: Bacterial small subunit ribosomal RNA
Source: RNAcentral